UGGGAGGGGCCCUGGCAGCAUGAAACCCCCACCCCCACUCUCUGUGACGGCCCAGAUGGAGGGCAGGAGGAACAGCGGUUCAGCCCUGGCUGGGGCUGCAGGGGCUGGGGUGUGUUACUCACUGGCACGACGGAGAACUGCAUGAAGAGGCAGGCUCAGUGUGAAUGGGGGAACUUCCUGGUUCUGAGGGAAUGUGGGAAAAUUGCCCUUUGGGCUGGGUGAAGAAAAAAGCAAGCGGAACCCUGGGACCCCUGGACUUCCUCCUCCAGAGCAAGCGGCUUUGGUCGUGGGCCAGCGAGCCUGUGCGUCCCCAGCCCCAGGGUGUUCACCGCUUCAGAGAAGCAUGGCGACAGUUCUGCCAGAUGAGAGGAUCCAGGCUGACUGGAGGAAGGAAGGGCUUUGUCUCAUCUGGGCUCAGGUUUGGGAGAGACGGCUUCUCAGAGGAGGUGAUGCCUCAGCCAGUCUUAAAGGCAAUGCGGUGUGCAGAGGGUGCUUGGUGGUUCUCUCCUGAUGGCCCCGCAGGGUCUGGAGCCUCCAUCUGGCCAGCAGAGGGCGCAGAAGGACUGCCUGGGCAGCUCCGACGUGACCGCCUGGAAGUGGUGUACAGCGUUCCUGACAACGUUCCCGGCCAAAACGGGUCCUGCCGCCCACUUGUGUGCAAGAUAGCUGGAAAAUGUCUUUCUGUGUGCUCCGAGGAGAAUGCAAAGGCUGGUGGAUGUAGUGCCUUUCCUCUACUGCUCUCUCAGCUGGGGGCAAGAAUGACAGGACGUGAACAUGCACACAAGGGCCCGGAACUCAGGACCCCCCACAGCGGUCUCCCCUGCCCCCCCAACCCCGCGCUUGCAGGAUUUGGGGCACUAGCACAGCACAGCCCACCCCUUGGGACUAGCACCCCCUCCGCAGUUCUGCUCUCUGCAGCAACAUAGAGUACAAAUAUUGUUCCUUUUGUUUCUUUUUUCCCUUUGGAUACAUUUUUAAUUACAAAAAUAGAGCUUGAUUGUUGCACCUAGACAGAUGUUU
Molecule: long non-coding RNA, 1020 nt
Organism: Gorilla gorilla gorilla (western lowland gorilla)
Lineage: Eukaryota; Metazoa; Chordata; Mammalia; Primates; Hominidae
Product: SLC22A18 antisense RNA
Exons: 3
Source: RefSeq, a predicted model, not a curated record